RNAcentral lists this transfer RNA (72 nucleotides) under Ictidomys tridecemlineatus (thirteen-lined ground squirrel). Its description in RNAcentral is "Spermophilus tridecemlineatus (thirteen-lined ground squirrel) tRNA". It matches the Rfam family "tRNA". From Rfam's summary of the family: Transfer RNA (tRNA) molecules are approximately 80 nucleotides in length. Their secondary structure includes four short double-helical elements and three loops (D, anti-codon, and T loops). Lineage: Eukaryota; Metazoa; Chordata; Mammalia; Rodentia; Sciuridae. The record is from Rfam by way of RNAcentral.
GGGGCUGUAGCUCAGUGGCAGAGCACUUGCCUAGUAUGUGUGAGGCACUGGGUUCAAUCCUCAGCAGCACCA